GUGAGCUGGGGAUUGUGAAUUAGUCCCGGUUUGUGGUAUUAUGUAAUCUAAGCUGUAUAUCUGGUUGACUGAAUGUUUUCUGGACGCGGGUUCGACUCCCGCCGUCUCCACCAACAGUGUAUUUGUAUAUUAAGUGUAUUUGUGCUUUUGCUGCAGUUUCUGCAAGGCCGGUUCGAGUAUGCUGCUGAUGGGGACGCCAUGGUUUCGACAGGAAAAGAUAGGAAGAUCGGCAGCCGGUAGGCGAUGACCGUAAAUCAAGCAAAACCUUUAAAUGCAAAUGACGAAAGUUACGCAUUAGCAGCCUAAUACUGGCUAGCUAGGAGCCUUAUCCACUUGGCAACAGAACGGAUAAAAAAGGGAGCUUCGGCUCCCUUUUU
This 377-nucleotide transfer-messenger RNA is filed under the name Advenella mimigardefordensis DPN7. Its description in RNAcentral is "Betaproteobacteria transfer-messenger RNA". It matches the Rfam family "Betaproteobacteria transfer-messenger RNA". Rfam says of the family: Bacterial tmRNA, also known as 10Sa RNA or SsrA, is named for its dual tRNA and mRNA-like properties. Its role is to liberate the mRNA from a stalled ribosome. Lineage: Bacteria; Pseudomonadati; Pseudomonadota; Betaproteobacteria; Burkholderiales; Alcaligenaceae. The record is from Rfam by way of RNAcentral.